CGAGUUUAGAUCACUUAAGUGACGCGCAGAGGUUUACGUUUUCGUAGUGGGCGCGUCAAUAAGGUUGUGUAAGCUAGUUUUCUCAUCUACCCGUCUACUUAAUAGUAUUAUGAACUUUGCAAAUCGCGUAGGAGAUACCCGGCAAAAACGGGAUAGAUUAUAACAUUUCGAAAACGAUUAGACGUCAUUAGGACAUAUUCUGGCAAGGUAUCGCUCAGUCGACGUAUAUUUGUAGAACACCGCAAUGACAAAUGUUAAAUAUCGAGCAUGUCACUA
Non-coding RNA from Cinara cedri, 276 nucleotides. Lineage: Eukaryota; Metazoa; Arthropoda; Insecta; Hemiptera; Aphididae. The record is from the annotation of a GenBank genome assembly.